UUUUGGACAAUGGGGGCAACCCUGAUCCAGCAAUGCCGCGUGAGUGAAGAAGGCCUUCGGGUUGUAAAGCUCUUUUGUCGGGGAAGAAACGGUGAGGUUUAAUACAUUUCACUAAUGACGGUACCCGAAGAAUAAGCACCGGCUAACUACGUGCCAGCAGCCGCGGUAAUACGUAGGGUGCGAGCGUUAAUCGGAAUUACUGGGCGUAAAACGUGCGCAGGCGGUUUUGUAAGACAGAGGUGAAAUCCCCGGGCUCAACCUUGGAACUGCCUUUGUGACUGCAAGGCUGGAGUACGGCAGAGGGGGAUGGAAUUCCGCGUGUAGCAGUGAAAUGCGUAGAUAUGCGGAGGAACACCGAUGGCGAAGGCAAUCCCCUGGGCCUGUACUGACGCUCAUGCACGAAA
This 404-nucleotide ribosomal RNA is filed under the name uncultured bacterium. RNAcentral's name for it is "bacterial SSU rRNA". It matches the Rfam family "Bacterial small subunit ribosomal RNA", at positions 362 to 758 of the family's 1533-position model. The record is from RNAcentral.